UCCAACGGAUGCAUUUUUUUUUAUUUAAGAAGAUUUGUUAAAUUUAAACAUACAAUAAUAAACGUAUCUCUCUGUGUAUUCAUAUGCGUCUAUAUUGCGUGCUAUUAUAGAGGAAAGGAGAUUUAGGUUUAAGUGACCGCAAGCCCGUAACAAUAUACUGGAAACUUAGUCUCUUAACAUCUUCUUAACACGUCAAUAGGCCAAUAAAAAACAUUAUUAGUAGUCGUAAUAGACUAGAAAUUGACAACGAUAACGACGAGAGCAUGCCGUGUAAAAUUGAUUUCACUCGUUUACCGUGUUAUAACGGAAAAUUCACGCUGAGAUUAUUGAUAGAGAUAGAGUAAAAAGGAUCGCGCGUUGCCCCGUGGAGAGAAUUGGUUUAAAUUGGUUUAACUUUUUGAGGCACAGUGAUAUAGAACCAAUAUAUCUAAAAAUUCGCUAUCCAGUUUAAUUCGAUUAAGCUUUUAAUUGCAUAAUAAUGCAUAAUAAAUUUUAUUCAGAUUAUUUUGUGCAAAACAAAAAUCAACUAUUCAAAAAGAUAAAUUUUCUUCUUUUUUUUUUUUUUUUCAAAAAUAGAUGGUUUAUGUACAACGUUAGUUAUUGACAUUUUUAGAGAAAAUUCCGUGUCCCAUGGAAUUAAUAAAGUCAAUUCUUGAUGAAAUAACUGCGUUGGAAUAUCCGCGUCAAAAAGCUUCGAUGUGUUUCCAGAUACGACAACAGCAUGGCGUAAAUCCUCGUUGCGAGGGAUUUACUAAUUCGGCGACAGCAUGUCGGGGGAUGAGCGGCGUGCAAAAUUUGAAUCUUUAUCUCAAUAAAGCGGGUACAGGUCGAGCGACAGCAGAGUCUGUUCCGCGUUCUAUGCAAAUUUUAUCGUACUUGGCAUGCUAAUGUCUCACUUAAAUCGAUCCGCGAUCGCCGGUCCGGCAUUAAACCACUCGCUUCUCCCCUUCGAGUCCCUAAACACUUGUUUUACACCGUUGGUGACGCGCGAGACGUGUAUCGCGUUAAGUUAAUAAGGACAGCCGCGGAUAGCCGGAAUGAAUCGUGCCAUUAAUGCCCCGGAGAAGAGCUCUGGGAAAGUGAGAUUUUCCUUAAACGAGAGUUUAACAAAGUUCUCGGUUAUUACGACAGAAUAGCCAACUUCCGUGAUAAGGAGGAGGAGGAGGAGGAGGAUAGGGUAGCGAGGCACGGCCAACUUCUCGCUCGCCGGAAGGGUAAAUAUUUCUCUUUUUCUUUUUCGGUGCGCGCAAGGCUCAGCAAAUUUUUAUCUCGAGCGAAAGCAUUAAUUUGCGAAAAAAACGACGACACCGGAAGUUCGGCUGCCACGCUCGCGGGCGACGGCCUUCGCUCCUUCGCUCGUUCGCUCGUUCGCUCGUUCGCCUCUCCCGUCCCGUGUUCUCGGUGCUUUCGCGUCGCUCUCUCUCUCUCUCUCUCGAAGAGCGCUUAACUUUCAUCGCGAAACUUUGGUAUCAUCUUGCAUUUAUUAAACCCUCUAGCGUAUUUGGCGAAUAUUUCUCGGUAUCGCUAUGUCAAUGUGCCGUAUCGUUCCGCCUCGCCGUGGUAAAAUAUAAACAAUCUUCCCGAUAAAUUUGCCAGAACGAUCUUAUUAAUGUUUGCGCGAUUACGCGAUAUUUGACGGUCGGCAAAAGUAAAACAGUAUUCCGCGUAGUUACGUUUCGCGUAAUUAAUGUCAAGUUUGAUAGAAAUGCAGCGGAAACCUCGAUCUUUAACGACGUUGGAAAACUUGGCCGGAAAAACGUGCAUUUUCAAGCGAUGUGAGAUACUUUUCAGAUACCCACGUUAAAACACACUUAAUGAACUUGUGCUUUUGACAAAGUAUUUACGACCGCACAUAUUUUAAAGUCUCGACAAAUUAUAUAGCCGUCGUCGCCGCCGCAUCUUACGUCACUUACGCACGGGAAGGUGUCUCGUAAUAUUCUACAGCCAAACUAAAGCACGAAGUUCCGUAAGAGGCUAAUGCGCCGCAAUAUAUUCGUGCGCAAUAUAUUCUGUGUUAGAUUAAUUAGCGCACCUCAUGUAAGAUUUCCGCGCCACAUUUGAUAAUUACGCCGCGAAUAUAAUUUGCGCUAGCCUCUCUCUUACGAGCUACAACUCAAAGGAUGCUUUCGAUCCUUUUACGCCACUUUUUAAAUAAUAUCAGACGACUGCAUUGCAGCUCGGUUAUACGUUGUAUCGGUUUAUAUUAUGUUAAUUAUCCAGCCAGUAAAAUGCAAGUGAAUGCAACAUGAAAUGUAAUGAAAAUAGUUGAUGUUACGUAAUAAUUGACCUAAUGGCUAGUCGCAACGUGAAAUUUCCAUAUGAUGCGUAAUAAAUGCAACGUACGACGUACAAUACAUGCGAUUGACACAUGUACAAAGGAGGUAAUUAUAUAAAGCUCAUGAUUAACGAAUGUUUCGCAUCGACUUCGUAGAAGGAAGCACCAUCUGCAUGCACAACGUUUAAAGUCUCAUUCAACCGCACGUUGUCAACCGGCUGUAAACGCGUUUACGACUGCUCAUUAAAUCCAUUGUUGCGCUCGACUUGUUGUCAAAACGCUAUGUUUAUGUACGACUAUAGUCGUCUUGAAAGACGUAUUAUCGCCUUUAAAAUUUUUCAUUGUGCACGACCAGAAAAGCUUCAGUCUGCGAUCUUUAUUGCGAAUAAAAAUUUUUUCAUUUCGUGCAUCCGCGACUUUGUUAUUUAUUACAACAGAGUUUUCAUAAAAAAACAAGAAUAUAAUAAAGAAUUAAAAACGAUAUAACGCUAGCGUGCAUGAUGGAAUUUUGAGAAAAACAGAGAAAUAGAAAUAUAAAAUUUUGCAUAUUUUGGAAAAAAUUAAAAUAUAAAUAUCAUAUAAAAAGCUAUUUUUAUAAAGCAAAUGAGAAUUAUUACAUUUCACAUUUUCUGUAUUUACUUCGAUAAAAUUCUUAAUAGUUAAAAUAAUAUUUUAUUACGUUCUUUUACAGAAUGUAAUAUUAAGUAUUUUGCAAAACUAAAUAUUUGCCUCUUUUUUUAAAAUAUUUUGCUAGAUAUCUUUUGUGCACGCCUUGUUUUAAGUUUUCUUAAAAACUCCUAUUCGCGUGCGAGCUCUCUCUCUGUAGUUAUCUCGAACUUCUCUCAAUGUAAAUAUGAUCCUAGCAAAGUCGCUUUUUAAACUUUUCUUGAACUCGUCGUAAAGACCGAUAAAUGUUUAACUCGUCUUUGUAAUCCGAUAGAGUCAUUUACUAACGGAGAUGCCCGGCACGCGGACACAAUUUCGUUACAAUACGAAAUCUUUUCAAUUACAGUGCAAUUUGUUUGACAGUUGGAAUUUUUAUUAAAGUUAAGCGAUUUUUCGAUAUACGUUACGCAUUUUCGCAUUACCUCUCCACACGCACACACACAUACACUUUUCGCACGGUCCAGCGUUUUUGCAAGAGAGGAUUUGUUUGAUGUCACCAUAGCUGGCAACCGUUAAUACUGAAAGAGUAGAUAGUUAAAUAAUGCUUUUUUACGAGAGCCCGACUCGUUGUCGGAGUAACAGCUGAUAUAUAGUGCAUGUCAAAGCGAAAUGGCGGCUACGGUGUGCAAAACGGGUUGAGGCUUAGCAUACGAAUAUCCGAUUCUCUGUUUGUGGGUUGCUACGGCGGUCUGAUUUACAUAGUUAUUAUGAUAUUAUGCGGCUGCAAAAGGAUUUUUAUCAUCAGCGCUGUCUACGCCACGAAGGGGGAAAGGAGGUACAAGCCGUGACAUACGCUUCCUUUUCUUCCACGUCGUUUUUUUAUCGCGUUCACAUUACCCCGCGACGGAUUAGAUAAUAUAAAUCUGUCAAACUCCGUCUCUCAGGUUUUCGUUCGUCGUAUUUUCGAAAGUUUUCAUUUCGCCUGUUGUUAAAAUAGAUAAAAAAUAUUUUUUUAGAAACGUCUGUCGUGCCAUCGUUCCAUCCGUUUUUAUACAUAUUUCACGUGUAUCUCUAAAAUCAAUUUGAUUUAACUUUAGAUUUUAUAUUGUUAUACUUAAUCCUUUUUUUCUAGUCUUUGCUCUUUUUUUCAACUUUGUUGAUAUCUCUAAAUACGUUUUAUUAUACUAAAAGUUAUAUUAAGACGAGAUUGACAUGGAACGAGAUUGCAUGUCUAUAACAAGUACCACUCGUCGAACGUAUUUUACUUCAGCCUUACUGAAGUUUUAUUUUAGCGUACCAAUAAAGAUGCAGACUUUUCAAGAGGUUUUUUUAACCAAAACGAUGACAUAAGCGGAUUAUCGAACCAUCACUCUGGAAGUUGAGAGGUUUUAUAAGUUUCUUCAACUUUAUUAGUCAGUCAUAAUCUCGCCCGAUUACUUUUAUGUGUUUAAAGAAAAGCUUAAUUAUCGAUAUUAAUAAUUUUAAUAAUUAUUGUCAUUAAUAAUUAAACAGUAGUACAAGAUCAAUUUUUGUACCUAGAAAAUAAGUAACAUAAAGUAUAAAUAUUGAAAAAGCAUAAUUGCGCACGACAAUAAUAACGGAAUAUUUGUUUAAAUUGAAAAGAAUUAAAUUAAAUUGUAAUCACAGUUUUGGCAUUGAGCGAAGAAAUACAGUGAGAAAACUUACUCCUCGCGCGAACCUUGUUUCAAGUUUUAUGUAUUUUAUAACCAGAGCGCAGAGCUCCCUUAUUCUCGAAGAGAAAAUCGCAAGCUAUCGCAGACGUGAUGCGGGCAAUUUUCCAAGUGAUUUUGGUAUACACGUGUAACGGGCGAGAGAAAUCGGUAUUUCUCACAACUUACGGCGGAUGUCGGCAAUCGAUCAACGGCAGAGAGAGAGAGAGAGAGAGAGAGAGAGAGAGGGAGGGAGAGAACUCGACUUGAGAACCUAAUAAACGCCUGCCCGGCUCUUCCUCGCCUCGGCGAAGGCUAAGCGGCGCGAUACCAAAGCGGAUUAUUGAAACGCCACUCGAAGUCGAGGAGGGAAAAGUCUGUCGGUCUUAGCCAGAUUCGCGGGAUUUUAAAUUCUCACGGCUCGAAUCCCUGCCGAAACUUUUCUCCAUCGCGCCGCGCCGCUCCGCUCCGGGCCGUAAAUAUAUAUACCGUUGGCUCGCGUUAGUUUGCUAUCCCACAUCCUUCCACCGCCCUUUCCACAGGCGCAAGCUGUUACACCGUUCGACCUCCAAAUACCGCCGUUGCACCCCCGUUGCAGACGCAACCGCCCUUCUAGUGGUGGUGGUGGUGAUGGUGGUGUCGGCGGCGCGGCGGCUCGCUGUCCCCAAACCAAUGCAUUUGCCGCUGCCGUCGACUGCGCCGCGAUAAUUCCAUUUCCGCGAAGCGGCACGAAUUCGAAGUUUAAUUAAUCGAAUUCACGCUAUCCUUGUCCAUCUCUCUCUCGCUCUCUCCGUUUCUCUUUCUUUGCUCCAUCCUCUCGUUUUCUCUCUCUUUCUCUCUCGUUCUUUCCUUAGUGGCCUCUCUCUCGCUCACCGCGAUUCCCAUCUUCAGUUCACCCCUCUCAAGGGGGACAAGCUUCGAUCCCGGAAAUUAGUAAGAUCGCACAUGCGGAACACGGAGGUUUGCCGCCUGGUGGUACGCUAUAUAGAUAUAUAUACGUUCGUACCUUAACAUUACAUGCAUACCGAUACACACCGAUACGAUCGUAUGCAAGUCGAUGCACACGAUCGCGUAUUCGCGUUACACAAUGCACGUCGCGUUGCCUCGCUCGCUCGGUCGAUCGGUUAAUACGGCGCGGAAAUGUGUACCGUCCUGAGACGGCGGUGAAAAGUUUACCGGAGUCAACGAGAAAUUUACAAGCGUUCAACGCGCUCGAUCGACCGCCUUGAACGGCCGUUUCGAUGGCUUUUCUUUCUCGUUUCUCGCGCGGAAACGCGAUCGACAUUGAGCGAUGCCGUGGUGACGUAACCGAAUCCAUUAUUCUGAGAGGCAAAACGCGCUCGAUAAAGAAAAUUAAUAUAAACACCCUGCCGCGCGCAGGACGAGAAGGUGUUGUUGAACUGUUUUUCAUAUCAUUCGUUUUCGUAAUCUCCCCCCAUAUAUAAUAAUAUAUUCCACCCUAUGGUAUAAUCAAAAUUCUGCUUAAGUAAAUUCCACUCCUACUUGAAAUUAACUGAAAAUCAAGGGCUCGCUAUACAUAUGUAUUACUAGUUUAGGAGUUUAGUUUGUAAACUGGCUGAGAUUAACUGCGCGACGGCAUUGUGUGUUACGCGGGCGUUGCACAUUAUGCUCCAGCAUCGUUAAAACACAAUUCGCCCGAGUCGCUUCAUUUCACUCGCGCGGAACGCAAAAAUUAUUAUUAGCACGUCCCCAGUAUUUUCGUCGACAAAGGAUCCAUUACGCGGAGCGUGGAUGCGAAUUUGGAAUGGCCCCUUACGAAGAAUGCGAUUCUACUUGUUGCAAUAAACACGAACGCAGACGCGGCUACCUCUGCCUGCUGCUGCUGCUGUCCAUGUGCGGCAAAUUAAAUAUUUCAGCAUUAAUAGAAGCGAUAUUUUUGCGCGCGCGCGGGAAGACAGUUGUGCCGGCAAAGUGCGCGCGAGAAUUUCGCACAGAGGGGACACAAAGCCGUAAACAUGGGACCGUAUCUGCCAACAUUUUUUAUCGUCCAGCUAUAAGGGCGAACCGCGCGGCAGAGUGCGCCGAAAUUGUAUUUAUAACUUGGAGCCUCGGACAAUCGUGGAUGCACGUGUGCGCGCGUAUGCCAUGCACUUGCAGCGCGAGAUGUACGCGUCUGCAGGUACGCGCGCGCACGCAAAUAACGUACGCAUAUAUUACGCACUCGCAAUUCACCUCACGCUCCUCCGUUCCUUUAAUACCAAACCAGCGCACGUAUGCCCGCGCCGCGCCGGAGCGCGUCCUUAACGUGUAAGAAGAUUACUACUACGUACGUGAGCGCGAGCGAGAAACUAUGCUUGGAAACUAUUCCUCAUUCAGGCGCAUAGGUGUGUAGCACAUAUUAAUAUUAAGCGCAUACCGUGCAAACACGUGAGAGCGGGGCUUGGUCGCGUUACCGCUGGUGUGAUGCAAAGUGUCUCGGGAGUUACGCACUUUCCCUGGGGUACGGACUUGCGAAAGUCAAACUACGAGGCGCGAUUGUUUCAGUGUCAUCGAUAAUUUUCGGAUUAUCCGGCGUGAACUUUCGAGGAUUCUCGGUUAAGUCGAAGUUCAGACGCGCAAAUAACAAUUCUCUCGCUCUUUGCGCGUAAUUUAAACUCUUUCAGAGUCGCUGUCAGCGUCGUAUAAUAAAUCUUAAGCGUUUGGUUUUUUUUUUAAUCAUAAAUGAUACGAUAAGGACUCGUAUAUUUUGCGCUGCAACAGCUUUCUAAUUAGCGCGCUAAUUAGCGCUACAUCUAAACAUGCUCCAGCGGCGCAAAAUAAAACCUUAUGAAAAGUCCCGUUUAUAAAUCAGACUGCUCAAGCAAAAAACUUCUUUCGUUAAAUUGCACUUAUUAAGUUUCAUUUCACUGCACCUUUCAAUCAGUAACGAAAGCAAAUUUCAUAUUUAAGUACCUAAUAAUUUAGUAUCACGAUGAAAAGAAUCACUCAAAAAUUGCUUAGACUCUGGUGGAUUGAAUUUUUACUCUUAUUAAAGUUACAAAUCGCAGUGAAAAAUCGUACAGGCUCAAUUUUCGCUGUUUCACAGUGACGUUUCGCUCUACGAGAUUUAGAGGGUAGAUGGUGAAUUUCCGGUUCGUUCAAUUUUGAAUUUAUUCGAGACAAUUGAAUACUCGAGAGGAGAUACGUGUAUUCAAUUGUCUUGAAUAAACGAGGAAUAUACGAGUGCCUGUAUAUUCGCAAUUGCAUAUGUCCCGGCACUCAUGUAUAUCUAUAUAAUCGCAAAUGUAAUUGGUUCUAUACAUGGUCCAACGUCCUUAACGUUACACAUUACGCCGAAGCUUCCUCGGCGUUAACAGCAGUGCUCAGAUGCGAACGGUUGCGCGGCCUCGAGACGAUGGUCGAAGCCGUACAGGAUGUGUUGUGUAAACGCAGUUAACUACGGAAAAACUUGGCGAACUAACCGGCAUGGACCCGGUUGCAAUGCCGGGCCGGACUAGAACCACUUCAACUUCGGACGCAACGACGACGACGACGUCGACAAUCCCUCGCCAACCAGGACGUCCUCCGCGGCUCCAUUCUUCUCUCGCUCUCGUUUACGUCUCCUCCCGUGAUCACUCAGAUAAAGUUCUAUAUAUUUUUCCUUUCUUUACUUUUACAUUACGCCCGAUUUUGCACUUUUACGCUAUCAAAUUGUAAGGUACGCGCAAAUUUUCGUGAGAAAAUUUUGCUCGCAAGAAAUAUAUUGUAAUCAUUUGCGUACUAUUGAAAAUAUAAUGGAUAAUUUUAUAUGAUAUUUUAAUUAAAUAGUAAUAUCGUUCCUACAAUAUUAUUAUUGUAUAUUAUUUUAUGUUUAAAAUAUAAAAAACGCUACUACAUAUCCGAGAAUGCGCGUACGCUUGCGCGCGCUUGCGUUAUUUUUAUUGCAAUAUUUACGAUUAAAGUAAAAAACGGCUAUCGCUCUAGCUUUGAUACACAUAGAUUUGUAGACCGCGUAUCUCUGAAUGCACUGACGAUUAGCUUUAUAAAAUACCGCGACAGUAGUAAUGCGCUCCCGGCUGAAGGUAGAAACCGUGAAAGAGGGGAAAAAAAUAAAGGUGAUCCGACGAGUUUGUAAGCCGCGAUUUCUGAACAAUCCGCAAAAAUAAACGUGCGUGAAAUCUGCAUGCAUCGAGUUUACUCUGCAAACUCGCUACGCCCAAUGCCGUGCUCUUCAAAAUAUUUCACGCGUUUUAAUAGUGCACGGCAUGUACUCUCCUAUUAAAUUAAAAUAUUUGAGUUUACGCUGAUAAUUGCGAUUCGCAGAAAUUAUUCGGAAGAUCGAUGCACGUUCAAAAGUGAAAUGACAGUGAAAUGAGUCCUUUGGGGAAUUUACGAAAAGCUGAUUAUAUCCAGUUGUUUUCAGCAAAUAUACGGGAAACGUGACUGCAGCAUUUUACACCAUAUUUGUAUUAAUGCGUGAAAGUAAUUUCCCUCAAAUUACUGACAUUCGUAUGAAAUAUUGCUAAGUUUUCAAAAAAAUUGUGUUUAAUAAAUACUCUAUUUAUAGUAAAUCUCAUAACUGUGCGCCAUGAUAAAAAUUAAAUUGCUCUCGCUGGAUUUUCUGUUUGUCGAAAAAGCUGUUUUAAGCUGUUUAAGUCAAGCUCUCGUGUAGGAUCGAGAUUUGCGUGAGGAAAUUUUUCUCCCUUUCUCCGCCAAACAUUAUCGGGCUUUAUGAUAAAGGCAGACAACGUAUCGCCGGCGCAACACCGUAUAAAUCUACCACGUAUAGAUAAUAUUUCACAAUGCAUUAUUCAGAUUUUUCACAAAGCUUUAUAUGCUCCGCGGGGAAACCCUUCAGACGUUGCGAAGUGGGUAUACCGACUUGUGUAGAAAACACGUGACGUUAUAGCGUUUAUUUACGAGUCGACAUGCAAUGCGAAGUGAUUCCUUUUAUUGCCGGUCAAAUACCUCGAUUAUCGACACGAGAGAAACACGCGAUCUUAUCAAAUAAUUGAAAAACCGCACCGACGCACUUUCGAGAAGAUAUAGCCUCCGCGAUUGAGCUAACGAUUUCAAAGAAACGGAAUUAGGAUUCGCGCAUUUAAGUUAAAUGUUCAGGAAAAAUGCUUCUUUCCUUUUUUAUAUAUUUUUUGCAGGCGCUUAGCGUACUUAUAUGAAAUUAUUAAUUUACCUUAUUUUACCUUAAUUAAAUUUUGACAGCGGUCGUAGAAAAAUUUAUACUUUAUUAAUAUUUAACAUGAAAAAUAUGCAAAGUUAUAUGUUGUGGAAAAUUAAUCAAAUAAUGUGAUAGACGUUUGUUACAAUAUAAUUUGUGUGAACGAACAUAAAUAUUAAUAUAUUAAAUACAAAUGAAACAAAUUGUGUUUUUAAAUAAUGAUUUACAUGCGAAUGAGACGUAUGUCGAAAUAAUGCUUUUUUAUUUGCUUCCGCUUUUACAUCGCAAAUUAAUUUCAGUUAGUAUAUUGUGUAAAGUAACGGAAGGUAAUUUGUUUUCACGUUGAAUAUACAAUACACCCUGCGUUUUACGCAGGAUACAAUCCAGUAUAAGAAACAAUUAUGCCAACCUUGCUGUAUGUUAAGUCGAAAGAUAUCCGAGGGUGAGACCCUCCGAACAUUAAACCAAUGUUUAUUGGAGGGAGGCUGGGAGUAAAAGAUACUUGAAGCGACGAGUGUCCUUUAUUUCUCCGACGGUAAUACGAGAUAUUUGCUCGCUCGCAUUCCACGGCACGUGCCAUUAACGCCGACAAGAAUUUCCGUCCGCACGAUCUUUCCUCUGUGCGACGCAGAGGAGUGGUGGAGAGGAAAAACCAACCGGCAAUAUGCAGAUGAGUAUAUACGGGUAUGUACCUGAUAGCGUCGGAUUCGUCGCGGACGAGGAGCCGUCUUGGCGCAUGGCGUCACUGGUAAUUGCCGUUCCGCCGAGAUUGGUGCUGUAGUCUUCGAGAAGUACGCAGCACAGUAAUAGCCGUGCCACCCUCAUUCUGAAAGAACGAAAGAAAAGCUGAACGAGAAUAACAAACCCGCGCGUCAACUCGCAUUCCAUCUCCCUUUCUCUCUCCGCUUCGCUUCCUAUAUCUUAGAUUUUAUUACAAGGAAAUGCGAGGAAAUUUCUCAAUCUUUAUUGCAUUCGGAUACGAUUAAUCCGCGGUAAUUGUUGCAAGGCGGCAGUAUAUAUGACGCAAGAUAUUUUGGUAUAUUUUGAUUAAUACUCCAAAUGUGCAAUAAUUAAUUAAUUAAUUAAUUAAUCAUGAAUAUACAAAAUGAAUUGAAGCCGGACGAUAAUAGUGCAUGCUCGUGAAAUGUUUGCAAAUUAUUCCAAAAUGUUUAAAUGUACGUAUUAAAAUAAGCAAUGCGGUUGUUUAAAGAUGUUAUUAAAAUAUAGAGGUUUAUAUUACACGUAUUAUGUUUUCCCAACAUUGGAACCUUAAUUACAAUUAUCAGAGCUAAAGCUGUUUCAUCAGCAAGUGAGGGAUACAUAAACGUUUCCGAAGUUAUUGGAGAUGCUAGAGAGGCUUUCGUAUUUUCACGUUUCACGCAAAGCUUGGAAAAUAUUUUGUCCGGUACUAUAUCGAUUUAUAUGUCAAAAAGCCAAUUUUGGAAAAGCAAAACAACAUUUUAUUGAUGAUGAUACUUGAAAAAGCCCAGUUUUGAAAAUCUCACUGAAAUGGAUACAGUGCAUCUCGCGUGUCUCACUAUAUUUCAUAGUAUCUCGCUAUGUCUUUUUAUUUCUACGUGUCGUUGGAAUUGAUAAUAUAUUAUGUCUGCAACUCUCCGUGUGAAUUUUAAACAAAACGUACAGAUAGACACACGCAGAAAAGAAGUAGAAUUUAAGCUUGAUAGAAAGAAAUUUAAUUUUAUGCUAAUAUUUAUUUAAGCUAAUAAAAUUUUUUUUUUCUACAUAUUUUAUAAUGAAAAUCUCUCAGAGCUCAUUAAGCUAUUAAGAAAAUACGUGCGUUUAUAGGUAAUAAAUAGUUUUAUCUCUCUUAAAAACGACAAAAAAAAAAAAAUAAAAAAGGAAC
Solenopsis invicta (red fire ant) is the source of this 11531-nucleotide long non-coding RNA. RefSeq lists it as uncharacterized. The record is from RefSeq and is a predicted model, not a curated record. The transcript has 2 exons. Lineage: Eukaryota; Metazoa; Arthropoda; Insecta; Hymenoptera; Formicidae.